RNAcentral lists this long non-coding RNA (215 nucleotides) under Gossypium barbadense (sea-island cotton). RNAcentral describes it as "long non-coding RNA (GBAR_LNC005622)". The record is from RNAcentral. Lineage: Eukaryota; Viridiplantae; Streptophyta; Magnoliopsida; Malvales; Malvaceae.
UUUUUGUAUACUUAUCACCCGUUUAUGUUAACCCAAAAACUGUAUUAAUUUUUUAAAUCACCCUUUUUACUGACUCUCUUUUUGUCGAGAUUCGAUUUAGCUAGUCGCCUAACUAUGUUUCAUCAUUUGUAUUGUUGAAUUUCUCUUUUAAAAAAACACUGAAAAAAAUUUCUGAAAAAAAUAAUAAUAAAAAAAUUGAAACAUUUGCCCUUAAU